Molecule: non-coding RNA, 92 nt
Filed under: pig gut metagenome
Description: SAM riboswitch (S box leader)
Rfam family: SAM riboswitch aptamer (S box leader)
About the family: The SAM riboswitch is found upstream of a number of genes which code for proteins involved in methionine or cysteine biosynthesis in Gram-positive bacteria.
Source: RNAcentral
CCUUAUAAAGAGCGACGGAGGGAUCGGCCCUAUGAUGUCCGGCAACCUGCUUUUGCAAGGUGCUAAAUCCGACGGUAAAACCGAGAGAUAAG